This 72-nucleotide transfer RNA is filed under the name Marmota monax (woodchuck). RNAcentral describes it as "tRNA.Pro". The record is from RNAcentral. Lineage: Eukaryota; Metazoa; Chordata; Mammalia; Rodentia; Sciuridae.
UGGGGUGUCGCUCAGGGGUAGAGUACUUGCAUAGGAUGCACAAGGCCCUGGUUUCAAUCCUCAGUACUUCAA